AGAGUUUGAUCAUGGCUCAGAAUCAACGCUGGCGGCGUGCCUAACACAUGCAAGUCGUACGCGAAAGGGGAGCAAUCCCUGAGUAGAGUGGCUAACGGGUGAGUAACACGUGGGUGACCUGCCUCAGAGUGGGGGAUAACGUCCCGAAAGGGACGCUAAUAUCGCAUAACAUCCUGCCUUUGGAAAGGCGGAGAUCAAAGCCGGGGAUCGCAAGACCUGGCGCUUGGAGAGGGGCCCGCGUCUGAUUAGCUAGUUGGUAGGGUAAUGGCCUACCAAGGCGACGAUCAGUAUCCGGCCUGAGAGGGCGGACGGACACACUGGGACUGAGACACGGCCCAGACUCCUACGGGAGGCAGCAGUGGGGAAUUGUUCGCAAUGGGCGCAA
Molecule: ribosomal RNA, 385 nt
Filed under: uncultured Acidobacteriota bacterium
Lineage: Bacteria; Pseudomonadati; Acidobacteriota
Description: bacterial SSU rRNA
Rfam family: Bacterial small subunit ribosomal RNA
Source: RNAcentral